AUCUAGCUGACGAGCCCCAAAUAAGACGAAGCUCACGUCCUGGAU
Molecule: non-coding RNA, 45 nt
Filed under: Schistosoma mattheei
Lineage: Eukaryota; Metazoa; Platyhelminthes; Trematoda; Strigeidida; Schistosomatidae
Source: RNAcentral